CCCUGCCUUUUGUACACACCGCCCGUCGCUUCUACCGAUUGAGUGAUCCGGUGAACUUUCUGGACUUCUGGUUCACGCCAAGGAGGAAGUUAAGUAAACCUUAUCACUUAGAGGAAGAAGAAGUCGUA
RNAcentral lists this ribosomal RNA (128 nucleotides) under uncultured eukaryote. RNAcentral describes it as "partial small subunit ribosomal RNA". It matches the Rfam family "Eukaryotic small subunit ribosomal RNA", at positions 1651 to 1793 of the family's 1831-position model. The record is from RNAcentral.